GCAAAAUUUAAAACCAAAAAGAAUAUUAUGAAUUCUGAUCUUCUAAAACAUUAUAGUGUUAAGUUUUGAAAGAAAAAAAAUAUUUGAUUGAUGGAGGCGGACAAUAAAUGUUCGCGCUCAGACAAGAAAACCAUACCCCUUUGAAGUUAAAUGAUUAAAUUACUUCCUUGUUGAUGGAUUGUUUCCUGGCUUGCUUUGGUAGAGUAUUGUUGCAUGUUUCACACUCGAGUAAUAUAUAUACGCAUGUGUAGUACAUGAAAUAUGAAGACACCGGUGUACUACUAUAAUAGUACUUGACUUGUAAUAGUGAGCAUGUAUGAGAAAAAAAGAGUGAGCUACCGUAUACGGUAAAAAUUAAUAUAAGGGAACUUUGAUAUCCUUGAAUCUGUUUCUGAGUUGUGAAGAACUAACAAAAGAACUAACAGUGGGACGGUUAUUCAAGUAAAAUACUAUAAUACAAUCGAGUCUUUAUGUGAUAAACUAUAAUAAAAUUGAGUCUAAUGUAAAACUUUUAAAUAAGUAAAGACUCUUAAUGUCUUGCAAAUUUUCGACUGAAGGUAAACUAUUAAGAAAAGAAAAAGAUAUAAAUAGUAAAUUCAAAUCGUAUGAAUCGUAUGAAUAAUAUUGGCGAACAAAAAAAGUAUCACAUUAUGUCGUCUGACAAUUGUAAGAUGCUAUAAGAUAGACUAAAAAUGUAUCGAAAAUAUAGCACAAAAGAAAUCAUGAAAUAACUCAGUGCAAUCCCAAUUUAAGAUGCAAACACAUGAAAAGAAAAACAAAAUCACACCAUAUCUCCACAUGACACAAAACAAAAACCAACUGCAAUCAACAAAUAAGACGCAAAGAGUCACAAAAAAUUAAAAAAAUCCAUUCGCGGGCAACUACCGACUUAUUAUACUGUAUGAUCGAA
Molecule: long non-coding RNA, 910 nt
Filed under: Mytilus galloprovincialis (Mediterranean mussel)
Lineage: Eukaryota; Metazoa; Mollusca; Bivalvia; Mytilida; Mytilidae
Source: RNAcentral